RNAcentral lists this ribosomal RNA (440 nucleotides) under uncultured bacterium. RNAcentral's name for it is "partial 16S ribosomal RNA". It matches the Rfam family "Bacterial small subunit ribosomal RNA", at positions 338 to 795 of the family's 1533-position model. The record is from RNAcentral.
CCUACGGGUGGCAGCAGUGGGGGAUAUUGCACAAUGGGGGGAACCCUGAUGCAGCGACGCCGCGUGUGGGAAGACGGUCCUCUGGAUUGAAAACCACUGUCCCCAGGGACGAAAAUGACGGUACCUGGGGAGGAAGCUCCGGCUAACUACGUGCCAGCAGCCGCGGUAAUACGUAGGGAGCGAGCGUUGUCCGGAAUGACUGGGUGUAAAGGGAGCGUAGGCGGGGAUGCAAGUUGGGGGUCAAAACUACCGGCUCAACUGGUAGUCGCACUCAAAACUGGAGCUCUUGAGUGAAGUAGAGGCAGGCGGAAUUCCUAGUGUAGCGGUGAAAUGCGUAGAUAUUAAGAGGAACACCGGUGGCGAAGGCGGCCUGCUGGGCUUUUACUGACGCUGAGGCUCGAAAGUGUGGGGAGCAAACAGGAUUAGAUACCCUUGUAGUC